AACUACAAAGACGUGUUCUACUUCUAGUGUUGUUAUCUUGAAAAAUCUAGCAACUUCCAUUCCACACACAAUUAGUUAUGGCUUCAAUUUCAUCUUUUUCCGUCGCUUCUCUUUCUCUCCCAAAAUCUCAAUCUCAUUCUCUGGAUCCCGAUUCUUCUUUCUCCGGUAAAAGCAACAAUAAGAGUGGUAUUUGUUGUUUCCCGCCUUCGUUUGAACGGAGAAAGAUUGUCCUCUCUUCCAUCGCCGUCAUUGCCGGAACCUUCUGCAAAGGAGGAACUGCUCUUGCAUCUCAAUUUGCUGACAUGCCUGCACUUAGAGGGAAGGAUUAUGGCAAAUCAAAAAUGCGAUACCCAGACUACGUAGAAACCGAAUCUGGACUACAAUAUAAGGACUUGCGACCGGGGAAUGGCCCCACACCGAAGAAAGGAGAGACAGUUGUGGUAGACUGGGAUGGCUACACCAUAGGUUAUUAUGGUCGCAUAUUUGAAGCCCGGAAUAAAACGAAAGGUGGUUCCUUUGAGGGUGAUGACAAGGACUUUUUCAAAUUCAAAAUAGGAUCUCAAGAGGUAAUACCAGCUUUUGAAGAGGCUGUUUCAGGCAUGUCUCUUGGGGGAAUUAGAAGGAUAAUUGUGCCCCCAGAACUUGGAUAUCCUGAGAAUGAUUAUAAUAAAGGUGGCCCAAGACCUACAACAUUCUCGGGCCAACGAGCCUUGGAUUUUGUUCUAAGGAACCAAGGAUUGAUAGACAAGACACUUUUGUUUGAUAUUGAGCUAAUGAAGAUUAUUCCAAACUGAUUUGUCAAAUUCUGCAUUGACCCUGGAUAUCAUCAUGAAAACAUUGAGACAAGUCUGCAAUUAGUUGUUUGUCAGUGCCAAUAUCAUUAAUUGAUCCUUCAUACCUUACCUAUACAGACGAGGAAGCAAGCUUUGUUUUCCUGUCCUUUGAUCAUUUUGUUGACAUCGACAUUCGAUGCUCGCCUAUGCUACAAGUUGGAUGUAAUAUUCCGGUUUUUUCCUUGUUCAUUUGUCCAGUAACUAAAAAUUUUUGUGUCAUUUGAGGAAGUCCCCCUCAAUUAUUUGAAACUUUGAUUCAUUAAGUGUGUGCAUGGGAAGAAACGUCAUAUAAUUAAUUAGAAAUUAGUCAUAGUGUGUAGAAAAGGAUCACACGCGACUGGAACACAACAGCUGUUGUUGCUUAUAGCGUAAGUGGUUUAAUGCAGAUAGAUAGAGCUUUACAAUCACAAAUUCUAUUCAACCUUUAGAAUAUUUUCAUGUGUCUACUUCAA
This is an RNA transcript of Trifolium pratense (red clover), 1285 nucleotides long. It is a transcript of the gene named peptidyl-prolyl cis-trans isomerase FKBP19, chloroplastic, with no coding region annotated. The record is from RefSeq and is a predicted model, not a curated record. The transcript is spliced from 12 exons. NCBI's taxonomy places the organism in Eukaryota, Viridiplantae, Streptophyta, Magnoliopsida, Fabales, Fabaceae.